This 31519-nucleotide long non-coding RNA is filed under the name Gossypium barbadense (sea-island cotton). Its description in RNAcentral is "long non-coding RNA (GBAR_LNC006074)". The record is from RNAcentral. Lineage: Eukaryota; Viridiplantae; Streptophyta; Magnoliopsida; Malvales; Malvaceae.
UUCACUUGGUGUCUUGAUCCAUAAAAAUCCCUAAAUUAUGCAAAUAUCUCUUUCGAGAGUAAGAGCAACUGACUCUAGGUUGGUUAAUUGAAAUCUCUUUCUAAUUAAAACCCCUAUCGUCGCGUUAACUCGAUCUAUGGACUCCCUUAUUAGAUUUGACUUUAAUCUGAUAGAUUUAUGUCAUCCUACUUCUAAGAUUGCAUGCAACUCUAAUCAACUAUGUUAGACCUACUCUUAAAAAUGGACUUUUCCUCCACUGAAUUAAGCACAUUAAACAUGAAUUAAUAUCCCGAAAAUAUUAAAACAAUAAAUAAGCACACAUAAUGAGAACAAGAAUCAAGUAUUUAUCACGUAAAACAAAAAUUAAAUAAUGGGAUUCAUCAUAAGUUUCAUCUUCCCUAGGUAUCUAGGGAAUUAGUUCAUAAUCCUAAAUGAAAACAUCUCAAAGUUAGAAAAACCACAAUAAAUAAAGAAUCUCAUAAAAACUUCAAAUGAAAUUAAAAAGAGGUCUUCGAUCUUGCUGGGAAUUGCUCCAGAGUUGGCUCCAAUGGUGUUCUUCGAGUUGUUUCUUUGAUCUUACCUGAUAGCCCCCGUAUCUCUUCUUCUAUUUGGUAUUUAUAGACUUCAGAAUGCCCAAAAAGCCUAAAAAAUUCAUUUUUCUGUGUGCUUAGGAAGCAAGGUGCGAAAUUGAAACAGACUGGCCCAUAGGCGUGUGUUCAGCCCGUGUGACUCAUAUGGGCAUGUGUCCAACUCAUGUGGCUCCUGAAAUCUACUCUAUUUGUUUGAUUUUAACUCGUUUUUCGCUCAUUUCGCGCCUAAAUGCUUACCUAAGUAUAAGAACAUGAUUUCAAAGGAUUAGGAGCAUCAAAUUCACCAAUUUGCAUAAAUAAUCACAUAAAAACACAUUAAGAAUGAGAUUAAAAUAUGUUAGUUUUAUCAUUUAUCAUGAAGCUUGUUAAAGGUUUUUCUUCAAAGGGUUUCAUAGAGCAUCACCUUUUCAUCACCUUCUAUUCAAUCUUUUCCAUCUCUCCAUUAUCUUUAUUAAUCUCGAUCAUGUUCACUAGAAUAAUUUUCUAAUGCGUUAUCUUCUUGUUCAAAUUUUCGAUUUCAAGAACUAAGAAUUCCCUCAAGAAUGUGUCUCUCAUUCAAGAUUCGACUCUAUCACACUCUAAAUCUCUUGGAUCUUUAUUUAUUGUUGAAAUUCUUUCUUUUACUUAGUUUUGCUUGUUGUCAAAUUGUCUUACUCUCACUUGGCUUUUUGUCAAAUUGUCUUUUAAUCACCAAGUUAGGGUUCAAUCAUUUUUGAUUGGUUUUCCGUUGCCUAAACAACUUGAAUCUUGACUCUAUUUAUUGUGCCCUGUCAAUGAUUGGCUACUUGAGCCUAUUGGUUGUAGGUGUUAAAAGGCUCUUAAAAGAAAAUGGUAGCCAAGCUUCACAUUGUAAACCCAAAUUAUAGAGUGAUGUCAAAUUAAUUUAUCAUCUUGUUCAUGUUCUCCUAUUGGUGUCAUGGAGAUGGCCUUUAUGUCAUUGAAGAGAGAUCCAUGUUCCAUAGUCUUCCAUUGCUAGAGAAUAAGUCUUUCACCAAUUUCAAUUUUUCUACAUCAGCUUAAUUUGAUGAAACCAUGAAAUUUGGAAUGGAGGGAGUCCGUUUCUCACCUAUUAUCGACAAAUAAAAAAAUUAUUAAGCCCUUGUAAAAAAAAAUCACCCAAUUAAACGAUUAUUGGUAAUAAAAAGAUCCAUUAAAUCUCUUCGUGAUCGUAAACCUUUGUUGACCGAUUUGAUCAUGCCAUAUAUUGAACAAAUAUAUAUAAAAAAAAAGUCUAGAAUGAACUUAGACAAUAUGAUCUUUAAAUUCAUUUGAAUCUAGAUAUCAUCUUGUCCAAGUUCAUUCCAAUCAUGGAUUUAAAAAAUUUAAAUUUUUUUAAAAAUAUAAACAAUUAAAUUUGUAAAUAAUUAUAUUAAUUAUAAAUAAUUAUUAAUUUUUUUAGAAAACUACAAAAAUAUAAAAAAAAAAUUAGAAAUAUUUAAACAUAGUUAAAAAGGAUUCAAAUAAAUCAAAAUACCAUUCAACUAGAAACAACAAUAAAGAACUUCCCUCCGGUGUGUAUAUACUACUACAUAUAAAUUCAUCCAUCCUUCCAGGAUCGGAACCUGAGAUGCCCAGCACCAGCUAAACCAAAUUCCUGAGCAACAUCAUGGGUGUCGUUGUCGAGAUUGGCAAGGGUGACUUUAGUGAGAAUGGGACUGUGGACCAAACCUGGUUAUACUUCAUCGAUUCCAACACUAGCUAAAGAACACAAAAAAGUUGGUAUAAUAUGAUCAAGUUAGAAAUGUAUUGAAACCGGUCUAAGGUGGCAAUCACUACUGGUCUGCACUGAAGUGGAGGAAGAGGAACAGUAUUGGCCUUGAUCAUGGUGGAUUGAAAUGCAACAAGUAGAAGAAAACCAUAAAAGCAUGAUUGGCAAGCUUUUUUCCUUCUUUUUUUUUUAUACAAUUUUUCUGUAUUUUAUAAAUUUUAAGAAUUUUUAUAAUUAUUUAAUUUUUUUAUAAUUUAAAAAAUCAAGUUGAAAAUCAAUCCUAACAAAUGAAUGUUUAAAUUAAAACAAAUUUACUCUAGAUUUAAAUAUUUAUAAUUUAUUUGUUAAUUUUUUAAAAUGUUUAUAUUUUAAGUGUAUGUCAUCGUGACAUGUUACAUGAUAACUGUUCAUUGUUUGAAUCAUACCAUAAUGUUAUUAAAAGAAAAGUUUAAUUGACAAAAUUUCAAUUAAAACUCAAUUGAUUUUUAAUAAAAAAUAAACUAAAUACUACAAUAGGAAUGGAUUUUUUUAUUUUCUCCGUACGCUUAUUUGAAGCAGUAAACAUAGGUGAAAUGGUAGCUAGUGUUUGGCCUUACCACUGACAAUUGACUACUUUAAUUGCGUGUUUGAAUGGUGAGAUGAAACCCAUCCCGUUGUCUAAUUUGCUUUCAUGUCAGUCUCACAUAUCCUUUUCUAAUCAAUCUCUUUUACCUUUGUUAAUUUUGUUUUAUAGUGAUGAAAUUAAAUUAUUUCUUAACAUUAAGAUGAGUAUAAGAGACCAUGAUAAACUUAUAUGUGGAGUUCACAAGGCUAAACAAACUAAAUUUGAUAUGAAUGUGGAUGUUAGUACUGCCCACUUCCCCUGCUGGUUUUGUAUAAUUGAUGGAUUCCCCUCAACUUAUCCUGCUGAAUUUGUAUAAUGAAUUGAUAUUACCUCGAAUUGUCUCCCUUAACUUUGUAUGAUAUGUAGUGAAGAGACUCCUACUCAGAUCCAGUGUCGUCUUCACAAGAUCACAGCUAGUGUUUUUUCAGUAUUUGGACUCCUUUUCAGCUUCAUUUGGCUUGUACUUCUUAACUUUACCUUACGGAUAUAACCAAAAUAAUGUCAUUAAUAUUUAUUUAAACAUUUAUAUUUUAAUACAUUUCAAUACAAAAGAACUAAUGUCAUGUUCAAAUAUAUACGAAAUAUUAAGAUACUAAUAUAUAUUUGUCUCAUUGUCUGUUUUUCUCUGUUGCCUUUCGUUUUAAUUUUAUGUAUAUGUACAUAUAUUAACUUUUGUUUCUAAUCAAAGCAAGCUCAUUAUUAACGAGCAGUUGAAAGAAGUAGAAUUCCAUUUUUUUUCUCAUGUCUUUUGAAUUAUGUUUGAAUUUUUAAAUUGAUAUUGUUAAAAUAAAUUUAUCUUAAUGCCAUCCUUGACCUGAAUAGGAUUAUAUUCAGAAUGAUGAAAAAAAAAAUUUCAUUGUAAUUCAAAGGUCAAACUGUCAAAGCAAUAGUUAUAUAUUUAUGGUCAAAUUUUAUUAUCAGUCCAUAUAUUAUAUGUAACUCGUAAAUUUAAUCUUUAUAUUUUAAUUUGAUUAAUUUUUGUUCUUAUAUCUUUUGAAUUAGUCAAUUUUAAUCUCAUAUAUUUUGAAUUUUAAAAUUUUAGUCCCGAUCCAAAUAAUAACAAUUAAAUUUGUUUGGUUAAUUCUACUAUUAAUCUUAUACUAUGCAUAAAGUUGUACAUUUAGUCCAUGUUCUCUUAUUUGAUUAUUCUUAGCCCAUCUACCUUUUGGAUUUUGAAAGUUCAAUCUCAAGGCAAGUAUCUAUUAAAUUCAUUAACUGACUUUUUUUUAUGAGUAAUAUAUGAAAAUAUCAAGCUAACAUGUAUUAUAUAUGUUAUAAUAUGUUAGCCAUAUAAGAUUUUGGAAAUCACAAAAUUAAACUUAAUGAGCCUAGCAACAAUUACUUGUUUGGCCAAAAUUAAAAUUUCAAAAUUUUAAAAAUAUAAAGACUAAAAAUAAUUAAAUUAAAAUAUAUGAACUAAAUCCAUAAUUUACUGAUAGCAAAAAUUAAGCUAUAUUUGCAUGGACUGUUACUUAGGAAUUGGCAUCUUUAAAUCCAAGCAAAUAAUUUUCAAGGUCCUUUUGGAUGGACGGUUCUUUUACUUGCGAUUAGUGUAAAAAUAGCGGUGACAAUAAAAUUAGAUACUAUAGCGAUUUUGUAACAUGAGAAAAGAAAAGAAAAAAACUAAAUGUAUCACACUGAAAAUAAAUGUCCAUCCAAAGAGAACCUAAACCUUAUUGAUUGUUGUUGAAAUAAAAACAAAAAAAAAUUACUACCCUUCCAAAUAAAUGAAAACAAAUAUCUAAUAAUAUUUUAAUUAAUUAGUUAAUUAUCAUUGAUUUUCUACGUUUCUAUCAAAAGGUUAGCAUCAAUUGCAAUUAGCAUUAUAAUUUUCUUUUAAUUUAAGUCCUAUUCGGACCAUUUUUACCUCCAUCAACUCUUAUUUAUAAAGUGUAGUGGCACUAACCAUUGGGUAAUAUACAAAAACCUCAUUCUUAAUAAGAAUCUAAUCAUAUACGUACAACAUGAAGCUUGACGUCGUAGUAGUUUCCGAGGAGAUACUAAAGCCAUCCUCUCCAACCCCCGACCGACUUCGUCGGUAUAGACUAUCAUUCCUCGAUCAAUUAACUCCCUUACUCUAUAACCAUUUGGUUUAUUUCUAUCCAAAAAUAUGCGAUACCGAAGCCAACAGAAUCACAAUUUUGGAUCGGCUGAAACACUCCAUGUCCAAUGCCUUCACCUAUUUCUACCCACUGGCUGGUCGGAUGAUGGAGGACCGGUUGUCUAUUGAUUGCAAUGAUGAGGGGAUUCCCUUCGUGGAAGUUAGAGUGAAGUGCAAACUUUUAGAUGCUAUAAAUAAUGUAGUUCCGAAAGAACUCAACAUAUGCUUCCUUUUGAAAUCCAUGGACACAAAGAAAUUCUCCUCGGAAUCCAAUUCAAUGUGUUCGACUGUGGGGGAAUAGGGAUUGGUGUUUGUGUUUCUCACAAAAUCAGUGACGCCCUUUCGUUUUUCACGUUUGUGAAUAUGUGGGCAGCCAUUGCUCGUGGGGAGACAAAGUUAAUGGCACCCAGUUUCGAAUCAGCCGCGCUUUUCCCACCACGAGAUCUUUCGGGAUACACACCAAUAAUCAGUCAAUUAAAAAAAGAACAUGUUCUAACCAAGAGCUUCGUAUUUGGUGCCACCAAAGUGGAGGAAAUCAGAAGAAAAUACGCCGAGAGUUGUAACCAAACAUGCCCAACUCGAGUUGAGGCUUUAUCGACUUUCAUAUGGGAGCGUUUGGUUACUGCCAUUAGUGUAAGAUCAAGACCCAAUACGGUUUGCACAAUUUCUCACUUGGUAAAUAUACGUGCAAGAACUGAACCCCCAUUGCCAAUAUCGUCAUUCGGCAACCUUUAUAGCUUUGCAAUCAUAAUCCCAUCCAUGAACAGUAACAUCGUCACCCAAAUGAGAGACUCCAUAAAAACAGUGAACAAGGAGUAUGUGAAGAAACUCCAAGAUGGAUAUAAUCACUACGACAAAUAUGAAGAAAUAAUAACACGUUAUGGCGGCAAAUGCGAGAUCAUUCCCCUUGGUUUCACCAGUUUAUGCAGGUUUCCUCUGUACGAAUCUGAUUUUGGUUGGGGGAAACCCAUUUGGGCAGCCUCCGCUCAUAGAGAAAUCAGGAACACAACUGUUUUCAUGGAUGCCGUGAAUGGCAACGGAAUAGAGGCUUGGGUUACCCUAGAUGAGGAAGAACUGAAGAAAUUUGAUACUGAUGAGGAAUUGCUUGCAUAUGUUAAUGCUCCAAAAGGCUUGUAAAAUGGUUAAGUUUUUGUGUCAAAGCUUUAAAUUGCUUUUGGUGAAGAUUGUGUUUGUGUCAAAAAGAUUGUGAUUGUUGAAGCAUUGAUUUCAUUUCAGGUUUGCAUUGCAUGUAUAUAUGAUUUUCAGCUGUUCAUUUUGGUUUUUAAUAUCUAUAUUGGGAGAUGGAUCAUGAUUGAUUAUUAACUAAUGUGCUGGUAUUGGUGUAAACCUCUACAAUGGACACCUACACAUCAGAUCACAUCUCAAGUAAUGGUUAAACUUCUUGAAAGUUUGCAUUUGAAUUUAAAAUAAAAAUAAAAAAAUUGUGAUGCAGUUUGUGAGAAUUAUAAAGGGUCAAUCCCCUUACUGAUUUUUUUUUUUUUAAACUUACAUUCUCUGUAAAUUAAAAUAACAAAGAAAUGUUGUAAAUUAAAUGGAUGUUUUAACCCCUUCAAGCAUAUUAAAGUAAUGAGAUAAAACUCUUUACUUAAUUUAUAAUCAGGAGAUUAUUAAAUAGAAUAAUUAAGAAACUUUAAUUCAUUAAAUGUAAUACAUUUAUUAAUUGAAUGUAAAGGAGCUUAUAAAUAGCACCUUGUAAAUGAAAAUAAAAUAAUGAAAUUCUCUCGUAUUUUUCAUCCUCUUUUAUUUAUUGUUUUAUUAAUUUUUCUAUAACACGUUAUCAGCACGAGCUUCUACGAGUUCAUAGUGAAGUUCACGUCAUUUCGACUUUAUAUAAUUUGCCCGUAUUAUACGGUAUACGUAUUUUCAUAAUUCUUUUAUUUUAUUUUCUAGAUAAAAUAUUUGCUUUGGGUAACAUUUGCACAUUUAUUUUUACAACUAAAAUCUAAUAAUGAUAAUUAUAUAUACAUGUUUUUUUUUAUUAAAAGAAAUUUCAAUUAAUUUAAUUUGUGUUAAGUUAUUAUUAAGAGUAUUCCUCUUUAUGCCAAUAUUUGACAUACAUAUUAUUAUUUAGCAAAUUUGGUAUAUAUAAUUGAAUUAUUUUACGAUUGAGAAUACUUAUUAUUUUACUAAUAUUUUUUUAUUUUGAUUAAAGUGAUUAUAAUGUCAAAUCUUGCCAAACUUGAAUUUGCGGCCUUAGACAUCUCAGGUAAGAAUUAUUUGUCAUGAGUGUUAGAUGCUGAAAUUCACCUAGAUGCUAAAGGUCUAGGAAAUACUAUAUUAGCAGAUAAAGAAGCAACUAAUCAAGACAAGGAAAAAGCAAUGAUUUUCAUCUGUCAUCAUCUGCAUGAAGGAUUAAAAGUGGAAUAUCUCACUGUGAAAGACCCUCUUGAGUUGUGAAAAAAUUUGAAAGAACGAUUUGAUCAUCAGAAAUCUGUGAUACUCCCUAAAGCUCGUUAUGAUUGGUUGCACUUAUAGUUACAAGAUUUUAAGACUGUAAGUGAAUAUAAUUCAGAACUUUUCAAAAUUAGUUCUCAACUAAAAUUAUGUAGAGAAAGCAUAACUAAUGAGGACUUGUUAGAGAAAACAUUUUCAACCUUUCACGCUACUAAUGUGCUCCUGCAACAGCAAUACCGUGAAAAAGGUUUUAAAAGGUAUUCUGAAUUGAUUUCAUGCCUUUUGGUGGCUGAACAAAAUAAUAAGCUAUUGAUGAAAAAUCAUGGAAUUCGUCCCAUUGGUUCUGCACCAUUCCCUGAAGUGAAUGUAGUAGUACACAAUAAUUAUGAAAAUAGAAAAUAUAGAAGUCGCGGCCGUGGUCGUGGACGUAGUGGGGGACGUGGUCGAGGACGUAUUAGUAAUCGUUAUUAUGGUGGUCAUAACAAUGAUACUUCUAACCACCAAAAAAAGAAUAACAAUGAAAGACAAGAAAGAAGUGGUCAAAAUAAUCCUUCAAAGAUUGUUGAGAAUAUAUGCUACCGAUGUAGUAUGAAGGGGUUUUGGUCACGUACCUGUCGUACGUCUGAGCAUUUAGUGAAACUUUAUGAAACAUCCAUUAAAAGGAAGGGAAAGCAUAUGGAGACAAAUUUUAUAUCCCAAAAUGAUGAAAUGGAGGCAAAAGAUAAAGAUAUUCACUAUAAUAAUAAAAUUGACCAUGCCUACGAGGAUGAUAAAUUUAAUGACUUUAAUAAUAUAACUCACCUAGAUGUGGCAGAUUUCUUUGAGAAUCAUUAGAAAAAUUGAUGUUAUUUUGGCAUUUUUAUGUUGUUUUAAGUAUAUUUCAUUUUCUUGCAUAAAGAAUAAUUUAUAUAUUUAAUAAAUAAUUGCAAUGUUUCUCAUAUUAUAUUUUGUUUAUUUUUAUAAAGAAUAUGAAUAUUCAACAAAAUUUCGAUGGACUUAAAAUCAAUGAAGACAUAUGUCUUACAGAUAGUGCUACAACACAUACGAUACUCAAAGAUAAAAAAUAUUUUUCUCAUUUGACAAUGAGUAAUGCCCAUGUUAAUACAAUAUCGGGUAGUUCAAAACUUAUUGAAGGCUCUGGAAGAGCUAUUAUAUUAUUACCUAAAGGUACAAAAUUUAUCAUUGAUGAUGCUUUAUAUUCCACCAAGUCUCAAAGAAAUUUAUUGAGUUUUAAAGAUAUUCGUCUUAAUGGAUAUCAUAUUGAGACUAUGAAUGAGAAAAUUGUUGAAUAUAUAUAUUACAAAUGUUGAAUAUGGAAAGAAAUAUAUUUUGGAAAGGCUACCUGCUUUUUCAUCAGGUUUAUAUUAUACACAUAUUAGUGCAAUUGAGUCACAUGUUACUACAAACCAGAAGUUUGUAGAACAACAUACUUUUACUAUUUGGCAUGAUUGAUUAGGCCAUCCCGGAUCUAUUAUUAUGCGAAGAAUCAUCGAGAAUUCAAUUGGACACCCAUUAAAGAACCAAAAGAUUCUUGAAUUCAAGGAUUUAUCUUGUGUCGCUUGUUCUCAAAGAAAAUUGAUUAUUAGACCAUCACCAACUAAAGUUGGGAUUGAAUCUCCAGCAUUUUUGGAACGUAUUCAAGGUGAUAUAUGUGGGCCCAUUCAUCCACAAUGUAGACCAUUCAGAUAUUUUAUAGUAUUAAUAGAUGCAUCUAGUAGGUGGUCACAUGUGUGUUUAUUAUUAACUAGCAACCUGGCGUUUGCGAGACUACUUGCUCAAAUAAUUCGAUUAAGAGCACAAUUUCCAGAUUAUGCAAUCAAAACUAUUCGUCUUGAUAAUGCUGGUGAGUUUACAUCCCAAGCUUUUAAUGAUUAUUGUAUGUCAAUUGGGAUAAAAGUUGAACAUCCUAUAGCUCAUGUUUAUACACAAAAUGGUUUAGCUUAAUCAUUUAUCAAACGCCUCCAACUAAUAGCUCAGCCAUUGCUUAUAAGAACAAAUCUCCCUGUUACAGCUUGGGGAUAUGCUAUUUUGCAUGCAGCAGCACUUGUGCGCUUAAGGCCAACAAGUUAUAAUAAGUACUCCCCAUUAAAAUUGGCUUUUGGUCAGGAGCCAAAUAUUUCUCAUCUUAGAAUUUUUAGAUGUGCAGUAUAUGUUCCAAUUGCUUCACCACAACGCACAAAGAUGGGUCCUUAAAGGAGGUUGGGAAUAUAUGUUGGUUAUGAAUCUCCUAUAAUUAAAUAUGUUGAACCAUUAACAAGAGAUUUAUUUACUUCACGAUUUAUUGAUUGUCAUUUUGAUGAAACAAUCUUCCCAACAUUAGGGGAAGAGAAAAUACAAGUGGUAAAAGAAAUUACAUGGAAUGGAUCAUCAUUAUCUCAAUUAGAUCCUCGUACAAGUCAAUGUGAACAAGAAGUUCAAAGGAUUAUACAUUUGCAAAACAUUGCCAAUCAACUGCCAGAUUCAUUUACUGACCUAAAGAGAAUUACAAAAUCUCACAUACUAGCUGAAAAUGCUUCAAUACGAAUUGAUAUCCCAAUAAGGCAAAUUGUUAGUGCAAAAGAAAGUAAUUCACGCCUGAAGCGUGGGAGGCCAAUCGGUUCCAAAGAUAAAAAUCCUUGUAAAAAGAAAGGAUCAAGUAUUCAAUAUGGUAAUAUUGUGGAGGCAAGUUCCCUAGAAGAGGCCAAAGAUAUAACUAAUCAAAAAACCCCAGAAGAGGUUUAGGUACUUGAAAAUGGUGAUAACGAAGAAAUCUCAAUAAGUUAUGUUACUUCAGGAAAAAGAUGGAACCGAAAAAGUAUAGCUGCCGACAACAAUUUUGCUUAUAAUGUUGCUAUUGAAAUAGCAAAAGAAAAUGAGGAUCUUGAGCCUAAAUCUAUUGAGGAAUGUAGAAAUAGAAAAGAUUGGCGAAAAUAGAAAGACGUAAUUCAAGCAGAAUUAAAUUCACUUUCUAAACGUGAGGUUUUUGGACCUAUAGUCCAAACACCUAAAUAUGUAAAGCCGGUAGGAUAUAAAUGGAUAUUUGUGUGAAAAUGAAAUGAGAAAAAUGAAUUCGUAACAUAUAAAUCACGACUUGUAGCACAAGGAUUUUCGCAAAGACCCGGCAUUGAUUAUGAAGAAACAUAUUCUCCUAUGGUGGAUGCAAUCACGUUUAGAUACCUUAUUUGUCUGGCAGUAUGUGAAAAACUUGAUAUGCGUCUAAUGGAUGUUGUUACAGCCUAUUUGUAUGGUACACUUGAUAGUGAAAUUUAUAUGAAAAUCCCUGAAGGGUUUAAAAUCCUUGAAGGAUAUAGUGUUUCCCGGGAAAAUUGCUCAAUCAGAUUAAAGAAAAGUUUAUAUGGAUUAAAACAAUCUAGAUGUAUGUGGUACAAUUGUCUUAGUGAAUAUUUGUUAAAAGAAGGUUAUAAAAACGAUCCAAUCUGCCCAUGUGUUUUAUAAAAAAGGUCUAAAUCAAACUUUGUGAUAAUUGCUAUUUAUGUUGAUGAUCUAAAUAUUAUUAGAACUCCUGAAGAGCUUCAAAAUGCAGUAAAUUAUUUAAAGAAAGAAUUUGAGAUGAAAGAUCUAGGAAAAACAAAAUUUUGUCUUGGCCUGCAGAUCAAGCAUUUAAAAGAUGGAAUUCAUGUCCAUCAGUCAACCUAUACGAAAAAAAUCUUAAAUAAAUUUUAUAUGGAUAAAGCACAUCCAUUGAGUACCCUGAUGGUUGUACGAUCGUUAGAUGUGAAUAAAGAUCAAUUUCAUCCUUGUGAGAAUGAUAAAGAGUUUCUUGGUCCUGAAGUACCAUAUCUAAGUGCCAUAGGAGCAUUGAUAUAUCUUGCAAAUAACACAAGACCUGAUAUAGCUUUUGCUGUAAACUAGUUAGCAAGAUUUAGUUCCUGUCCAACACGUAGACAUUGGAAUGGAAUUAAACAUGUAUUUAGAUAUCUUAGAAGGACCAUUGAUAUGGGGUUAUUUUAUUCAAAUGAUUCAAAAUCCCUAUUAGUUGGUUAUGCUGAUGCUGGAUAUUUAUCAGAUCCACAUAAAGGUCGAUCUCAAACGGGAUAUUUAUUUACAUGUGGAGGUACUGUCAUAUCAUGGCGUUCGACAAAGCAAACAUUAGUUGUUGCCUCUUUAAAUCAUGCUGAAAUAAUUGUAAUGCAUGAGGCAAGCCGAGAAUGUGUUUGGCUAAGGUUAUUAACCCAACAUAUCCAGAAGAUAUGUAAUUUGUAUCAAACAAGUUCCUAUCUUGUCUACUUGGACAUUUAUAUUAGCAUUUUCAUCAUUGUCACUUAGUAAUUAAUAGCAUAUAAAACUUUACAUCUUUUAAAAUUUAGUCCUUAAUUUCAUAAAAAUCAAUAUUCAUUAAAUUAACACUUUAAUAUCACUUAAAAUUAACUUCACUACCGUAAUUACUUCCCUAAAAAUUUCCAUAAAUACUUUAUUACACCUAUCAAAUUUUUUGUCACUUUUAUAUCUAGUUUUCUUUGCAUAAACUUCACUUCACUUUCUUUAUAAUCUCCUCAAUUUAGUCCCUACUAGUAUAUAUUUUCAUUAAUCACUAUCUUCUCACUUAGUAUUCACUUCACUUCUAUAUUUCAUUACACUUUAAUAUGUUAUUUAAAAACCUUAAUACACUUAGUCACUUUUGUAUAUUUUACAAUUUGGUCCUUUUUAAUAUGAAAUUCAAGUAUUACUAGAGAUUCACAUUUUGUAAUUAAUUCAUUAACACUUAACACUGUGUUUAAGCUAUUUAUCAUAAUAUUUUAUUUUACACUUAAACCUUUUUACACUUUUCAAUUUAGUCCCUAAUUCCAUAAAAUUUAUUUUUCACUACAUAAUCACUUUAAAUCAAUUUUCUUUCAUGUAACACUUCACUUGAGUAAUUCUUUCUAAUGUUUUUAGUACUUGUUGCCAUUUCAAAGUAUCUUGCCACCUAGUUCUUAACAUUAUGAAAAUUAGCAUAACACUUCACUCAAAUUCACUAUCACAAUACACUUUAAUUAAAUAAUUCAUUAUAAUAUCUUAUUUCACAUAUAAAAUUUUUAUGCACUUCACUUAUCUUGUUUUAAUUAUAAAUUUCACAAAAUUUAUAAUUUAGUCCUUAGUAUAUGAAAUAUCAUUAUUUAUUACAAUUUCACUUUAACAUCACUUUUUAUUUAAUUCACUACUAUUUCACACUUCAAUUAAGCUUUCUAUCAUAAUAUUUUAUUUCACAUAUUAAAAUUAUUUUACUAAAUUACCAAAAAUUUCAUAAAGUUUACAUUUUAGUCUUUAAGUAAUAAGAAAUUCAAGGGUACUUACCUCUCUUCAACCUUUAAUCACUUGUUUUUCACCUUUUUUCAACAAUGGUCGAUGUGAGUGAAAAAGAAAGAUGGAGAAAUUUCCAUUAUCUUUUUUUUCUUAACUAUUAAGUAAAUAAUAAAAUAUCUUAUAUUAAAAUACUCUUAACCAAUCAUUUCUCAACAGUUUUCAUCCAUAAUCAUUUUGCCCUUAAUGAUUCUCUACAACACCAUCCUUGAAUCAUCACUUAAUUUGGUAAAAUUACGAUUUAAUCCAUCGCAUUUUUUUACUUAUCCAAUUUGAUCCUAGCUUACCAACUUCGUGUCACAAGAAAUCAUUUUAUUUUCACUUUUGGCCCUUUAAAUUUUACAUAUUUAUAUCUUAACCCCUUAAAUUUUGAAUAAUUAUACUUGAGCCCUAAAAAUUUUUACAUCUUUAUGAUUUGCUCCCUAUUUUAAAUUAAUAUAUCAUGAUAUACUUUUUAAUUCAACUUUCUUUGGCAUCCAUCAACCUUUUCUUUAUCACUUAUAUUCCUUAUUUUGUUUUAUUGAGAAAUUCAUUACGCAUGAUUCUCGCUUAAUAAUGCUUUUAUAGCAUAACGAUUUUAAAGGUGUUACAGUAAAAAUAGAACCAACAUCUCCUACAUUGAUUGUGAUUCAACCUUCUUUUCCUAGAAGGCUUUUGGGAAAUAAGAGCGAAAAAGACGAUACAGAGUUCUUUGAGAUUUUUCGCAAAAAACAAGGUAAACAUUCCAUUACUAGAUGCUAUGAAAAAUAUGCAUUUUUUUUCCGAAAAUUUUAAAGGAUUUUAUACCAACAAAAAGAACCCCACCAUUUUCAAAAAGGUAAGCAUAGGAAGAGUGCAUCCACUUUUAUCAAGAAUAAGACACCUCUCAAAUGCUAGGACUCAAGUAUGAUUUCAAUUCCAUGUAAAAUAGGUAAUGUAGGCAUUAAGAGAGUUAUAUGUGAUUUGUGUUCAUCUAUUAAUACAAUGCCAUUAUCUAUUUGCGAAUUACUUAAUGUCAGUCUUUUGAAAGAAAUAAAGAUUAACCUUUGAUUGAUGGACAGCCCUAUAGUCUAUCCAAACAGAAUGUUGGAAAAUGCUUUGGCUAAAGUUGACGACCUAGUAUGUCCAACAAAUUUCUAUGUCAUAUAUAGAUAGAUGACGAUGUUUGUGCUUUUUCGACAUAUUAUUAGGACACCAGUCAACUAAUACAGUAACAAUAUGAGGAAUGUUGUAACUUUUUUAUCCACACAUUGGAUUUAUAAAUUAAAGUUUUAAAUCAAUAUGAUAUUGUAUAUUAUUGAUAAGUGCUAAAAGUAACAUGUUUUAACCUCAUUUUUAACACGUUUUUGGGUGAUUAUUCUAUGUUAAUUGUGAAUUUUAUACUCCUAAUCCUUUAAAUUCAUGUUUUAAUGCUUAAUAGAGCACUUGGGAGCAAAAAGAGAAAAAAAGAACAAAAAUCGGAGCAUUGAAGUAAGCUACAGGAGUCAUACGGGCUAAACCAUUUCACACAGCUAGACCACAUGGCUACGUGACCCACACAGGCAUGUUGUAGGUCGUGUCGGUUUCAUGGGAUUGCAUAUCGAAAAUAAAAAAUCACGAUUUUAGGUUUUUUGGGCAUUCUAAGACGUAUAUAUGACAAAAAAAAUAUGAGGGAGCCGUCAGAGAAUACUGAAGAAAACAACUAGAAAAAAACCAUUGAAGCCGACUUUGAAGCAGAUUUCCAUCAAGAUUGAAUAUUCUCAGUUGAUUUCUUAGGAAGUUAUCACGAGUCUCUUUAUUUCUUUCGGUUAUACUGUAUCUUUGAUGUUUUUAUUUUCAAGCAUGGACUAAUUUUUUAAAUACUUAGGGAGAUGAACCCUAUGAUGAAUUAUGUCGUUUGAUUUUUAUUUUACGCAAUAAAUAUUUAGUUUCUUGUUCUCAACUAUGCUUAAUUAUUGGUUUGAUAUUUCUAAAAUAUCAUUUUUAUUAAUAUAGUUUCAACCACUGAAAAUUUUUUAACUAUUGAAAAGUUAUUAUAUCAAACAAAUAAUUAAAAAGUUUUAAUUUAUUCAAAAUUUGAUGUGCAUAUCUAUACAAUAUAAUAAUAGAAUUAUUAAAAUAAUUAUAUAAAAGUGUGUAAAAUUAAAAUAGUUUAUAUAUAUAUAUAUAUAUAUAUAUAACAAGAGCUUGAUUUGGUAUUACAUGGGUUUUUGUUUGGGUAAAUUGCAAAUUGGGGAGGAGAUGUUAGAAUUUGUGCUCUAUAUUUUAGCUCUUAGUCACUUCCUUAUUUGGGUUGUUGGUAUACAUUAAUUGUGUUGAUUUAAUUUCGUGUUUAUUUUAAUAUUUUAUAUAUUUGUUAAGAUAUUUUGUGUUUGUAUGGUAUUUAAUGUAUAAAAUCAUAAAUUAAUAUAUAUUAUUUUCAAUUACGAUUAAAUUUGAGUUUUAUUAAUGAAGCUUGAGGCCAUGAGCUCUUUAAGAUCCUUGUUCGAAUCUCAUUUUAUUUAAAAUUUCGGUUUAGUUGUUGAAUUUAAACAAACAUAAUUCAGCAGCUCCAAUGCAACUUCGAACUUGUAAAUUUAAUUAAUUUUUAUUAAAAAUGUGAUUUCAAUUUUAUCAAACGAAUGAAAUCCAAAUAUAUUUCCAAUCUGUUGGACGAAUAAUUAGUUUAUCGACAUCAUGCAUUUCUAGCUUAGAUAACACAUGAUUUCCAUGACUAGACAAACAAUAAAAAAAUGAUUAAUUAGGUAAAAGAAAAUUCCAAUAAAUCAUCUCAAUCUUCCUCAGCUACUAAAAUUAAUACAUUGCGCUAUAUAUGCAAUAGAGGUAUAAAUAAGCUCUACAUAUUUCCACCAGCUUAAUUUCAAUUAAUUAGAUAUAAGAGAUGUCAUGGAAUUUGGUUAUAUUUGCAGUAAUCUUAAUGUUUACAACUCGUUAGUUUCUAACUCUGUGUUGUGCCUGAACCUUAACUCAUAUGUUUGUUUAAUAUGAUAAAAGUAGAUGUGUGGUUGCAGAUGCAGAGAUGGUGGCGGAGGCAAGGGGACCUAUCAUUUCAUUUAGAUGCCAUAGAAGUGAAGACUGUGGAAGUGUCUGCGCCAAAUGCCCCACCUGCACUUGCCUCUUUCACCUUUGUACUUGCCCUACCGACCCUCCAUGGCCAUUAUCAUAAUCUCAUUUACUUCUCAGCAAUAAAUGAUCACUCUGAUCCUUUCUCAUUGCAACAAGCUUUCAGAUCUAAUAAUAAUAACUCAUGGGUAUUGUUUCUUUUCUUCUGUUAUUAUUAUUAUUUUUUUAAAUUUUCCUUUUACCCUACAUAUUUCUUAUUUUCUGUUUAAUCAGUUGUUGAGAAUGGCAGACAGCAUGGAGGUCAUGAAACAAUUAGUGUGUUGUGAGGUUGUGGACAUUCAAGACUAUCGUUAAUGUAAGAAACUUGGAUACAACCUCAUACUAUAAUUGUUUAAAGAACACUAUGCUAAGAAGUUGGAUUUUAGCUUUAGGCAGCAUACAAACUCUCAUCUCCUACUGAAACGCAUUACUCCGUUGAAGCAAACUACGAAAGGUUACGAUUUUGAUUUCUUAUUUAUUAUACAACAGAAUAUUAUAAUAAAAAAAAAGUCUGCGAAAAAGGAAGGAAAAUCCCACUUAAAUGUUAAAAUAAAUUUAUUCAAAGGGCAUAUUGCUCACCUCUAAAGGCAUCAACAAUCGUCAUUCCAUGAAAAAGUAGUAAAUUGCUUUAGCUGUUAAAACAUUUGUUGUCCAAGUAACUGAAUGACACUUUGAGAUAUAAUUUAUCAGCAAAGACGCAUGGACGGUUUAAGCAUGCCCCAUUACUUAGAAGUUUAACAUAUAUUACUGAAAAAUUAAUCUACAUUACGGUAAUCAUAAGCAGUGUACUCAACUAUUGAUGAGAUAAUCAAUUUCAUCGUAAGAAAUAGAACUAAAUGUAAAACCAAUACAAAUUAAGUUUAUUAUAACUAUCAGGCUAACAUCAUGUGAUGGAGUUAUCUUACAAUUUAUUAUUAUCAACCAACUUAUUUAUUUGUAGUUACGUUUAUAGUAGCACUUUAUCUCAAAUUUUUUGCCAAUAACUAAUGACAUAUGAGUAGCACCAUAAUUUGAUAUCUUUAUGAUCGAGUGCAAUGUCCAAAAUGUCGGUAUAAGUUCAAAAGCUUGCGAAUUACUGUAAUUUUAGUAAAAAAAAAUACAAGUAAAUUUUCGUUUCAAAUAAAUGCCCAUUUUAUAAUCUUUCUUUCGAUUGGGAGACAAUUGUUAUAUAUAAAUAUCUUAACCAUAAUGGAAAUCCAUACCAAAGUCCCUUUACAUACAUUUCUUGGUAUCACUAACAACUCUCCGUCCUAUAAAAAUCUAAAUCGCACCAUCUUUUUCUCGCUAAUUCUCCAUUGUUGAUCUUUUGUAUCAACAAUAACAUUAAUAGGUAAUCACUUUGAUAUGAUGUAAGAGUAUCAAACUCAAAAAGAAUAUAUAAGAAUUUUUUUCAUUAUAUUUAAAUUUUAAAAUAAUUAAGGUUUGAAAUUUAUAAUUGCUCUGUGUUUUCUGUGUGGGUUUUAUUUGUUCAGACUUUAAAUACAUUUUGGUAUACUUGUACUUUUAAUAUUGACAUACAAUGCUGGUUUGGGAAAUAUAUAUUUAUAUUACUAAUAGUAAAAUUGAUUUGAUGAGAUCAAAUAACCAAUAAAUUUUUAUAGCUUUUAUAUUUUUUUCUAUAAUUGUUAUAAUUCUUUACAAAUUUUCUAUAAUUUUUUAUAAGCAUCAAUAUAUUCUAUUUUUUUUUAGAUUUUUAUAUAUUUUUAACAAAAUUUAAGUGAUGAUAUAGCAAAAUCGUAAAUUAUCAUGUCAUCACCUCGUAAUGAUGUUAAAAAAGGACUAAAUUAUUAAGAUAAAAUCCAAUUUGAGGAUUAAUAUGGACCAAAAAAAAAUUUUUUGAGAGUAAAUCAAAAAAAAAGUUCUCAAAUUUAGGAAUUAAAUGUUCUUUAUCCCUUUUUGAAGAUAUAAAAUUUUUUAAAUUUAUUUUUAUUUUUAAUGCAAAGAGUAAGGUCCAAUUAAAGAAAUAUUACAAACAAUAAGGGCUAAAAAAGAUAGUUUCUAUUACUAUUAAAAUAUUUUACAUCAUUUUGGUGUAUUUCAUCACAUUACUAGUACAAGGUUAAAACUUAAAAUGAGACAUGUUUCGUGUCAAAUUCGAACUCAAAAAUUCUUACAACGCAUUUGAUUCAUUAUAACAAAAUAGGACUAUAAUGAAAUAGAGCUAUAAUUGAGUUGUAAUUGAAUGGAAUAAAAUCUAAAUAUUGCAUUGUUUGGUUGAAUAGAAUAUGUCAGGAAUAGAUCAAAAAACACAACUUCUAUCUUUAAAAAUAAAAAAAAUAUUUUAUUUAUAUUAUCAAUAUAUAAUAAAAGUAUUUAAAUAAAAUAUAUAUUAAAUUAAUAUAUAAUAAAAAUAUUUAAAUAAAAUAUAUUAUUAAUAUAUAAUAAAUAUUUUUUUAAGCUGUUGCUGCAAAUUUUGAGGUUUUUCUCUCUUUUUUCUUGUAAAAAAAAUUCUAACCAUACUGUUCUUGGAACCAUCGGAGAUCAUCCGCAUGACACAAAAUUGAUGAAGAAGAAUAACAGUAAGAAAACGAUGGACAUAAUUGGAAUAAAAAAAUCGCUAUUACUGCUGAAUUGUCUAUUCUUACCACUAACCACAAAAUAUGGAUUCAGUAAAUUUGUUGAAUAAACAAGGAACGGCAUUCCAUGAAAUGGAGGGAAUGGAAUAGCAAUUCCCUCCAACCAAACGCGCUGUUACUGCUUAAACUCGCGGGAUUACACCCGUAGCUCCAGCACAAGCACCCAAGCUAUUUUGCUGAUGCAUAUUUUUAUUCUAUUCAUUUCAGCACAUGAUACAACUUCAAUUUUAUAUCUUAGAAAACAUUUAUUUUUAUCCUUUUGCGACAUCUAUGAUAUAGCAAAAUACAUAUAUCAUAAUAUGUUGCGAACAGAAAAAUUACAGAUAAUGGGCCAAAAAGAAAAUGUUGUGGAUGCUAUGAGAAACAAAACAAGUACCCACCCCGGCCAGACAAUAGAGACGUUCAUUAUUUUCUAAAACAGUGAAAUGUUGUUAACACAACAGCUUAGCAGAAACCAAAUAGUCACUACACUACCAGACCACCAGAUUCCUGAGUAACCUAUGCUCCAAGUUUCAAGAACUUCCAAUUUUACUCCAUAGUAUCCACUUUUGCACGUGUAAUACCCCAACAUAGAAUGAAACAACUUGUCAAUAAGAAAACUUCAGAUGGUAGCCUGCUAGAACUGAUUUAUAUGCGCUGUAAGAACAUGCAUAGGAUACAAAAACAGGUAAUAGGUACUUUAUCCUACUCAUUUCCAUGGCUUAAAAAGAGGGAGCUAAAUGUUAUGCACAUAGGACUAAGGAUGCACUACCUAAUUAAAAUUGUUUCCUAUAUGCCAUUUUCCAUUUGGAAAUAACUAAACUUGAUAUGGAUAUAUCUUAUGCCUCCAUCCUUUGCUUUUCUUCCAACUUAUUUCUUUCAAAUUCUUCUAACAAAAUCAUUGUCUAGCAACCAGAAAAACAGAUACUAAUUAAUAAAGAGAAUAUGAACGGUUCUUUUGACCUUUUUUAAGUGACCAGGCAACUAUUGGUAGGUUGCCACUGCCAGAUGAUAAGGAAAAACUAAAAUGAAAUCCUUAAGGACAUUAAAAGAAAUAAGUUAAUUCAUCUACAGGCGUUGUACAAGCCAGCACCUUAUUUUUUCUUCUCAUGAAAUUAUUCAUGAGUAUACCAGGGUACAGUUUGUUGUGAAAGCAUGCAUCCAUAGAAACGAGCAUUUUCACAUAACGAAAUGGAAAUUGAUAACUAAAAUGCCAAAUCAAGCACGUUGAGAGUACUUCAUAUUUUGGAAGAAAAAGAUGCACUAACAAACUGAAAGUCAAAAAGAUGCCAGAAGCAACCUGAGCAGAAAUUACGCAGAAGCCUCUAGCAACUCCCUUUCUGCACGCUCCCUAAUCCUUCUCUCGAGCUCUGGCCUAAAAUGCCGUAUUAGACCCUGCACAGGCCAAGCUGCUGCAUCACCUAAAGCGCAAAUUGUGUGCCCUUCAGUCUGCUUGGUCACCUCCUGAAGCAUGUCAAUCUCUUCCAACUUUGCAUUCCCAACUUUCAAUCUUUCCAUGAUCAUCCAUAGCCAUCCAGUCCCUUCUCUGCAGGGCGUGCACUGUCCACAACUCUCGUGCUUGUAGAAGUACGAAAGCCUCGCAAUUGCAUCUACAACAUCAGUUGACUUAUCCAUCACAAUUACUGCAGCAGUUCCCAGUCCUGACUGGACAGCCUUGAGUGCAUCAUAAUCCAUCAGGACAUCAUCACAUAUGUGCUUGGGUAAAAGUGGAACAGAUGAACCUCCUGGUAUUACUGCAAGUAAAUUGUCCCAUCCACCUCUGAUGCCUCCGCAGUGCCUCUCUAUCAACUCCUUAAGUGGUAUACUCAUCUCCUCCUCAACUGUGCAAGGCUUGUUGACGUGACCUGAGACACAAAACAAUUUUGUCCCAGAAUUGUUCUUCCUCCCAAAACUGGCAAACCACUCAGGACCACAUCUCAAUAUUGUGGGAGAAACAGCCACCGUCUCCACAUUUGUGACAGUGGUGGGACAGCCAUAUAACCCAGCAUUAGCAGGGAAAGGAGGCUUCAAUCUAGGUUUUCCUUGUUUUCCUUCAAGGCUCUCUAGAAGUGCUGUUUCUUCACCACAAAUAUAAGCACCGGCACCAAAAUGGAUGUGAACGUCAAAAUCAUAACCAGAACCACAUGCAUUUUUGCCCAACAGUCCAGCUUCGUAUGCUUCAUUUCUAGCUAUUUCAAGGUUUUUACGUUCAUUCACAUAUUCACCCCUGAUGUAGAUAUAAGCAGCUGUAGCUCUCAUCCCAACCCCAGCAAUCAAGCAACCCUCCAAUAGUUUGUGUGGAUCGUGCCGCAUGAUUUCCCUGUCUUUACAGGUUCCAGGUUCACUUUCAUCAGCAUUGACAACAAGAUAAGAAGGACGGCCAUCAGAUACUUUUGGCAUAAAAGACCAUUUGAGGCCUGAUGGAAAUCCAGCACCACCACGUCCUCGGAGUCCAGAUUUCUUCAUUUCAUUGACAAUCCAAUCAGCACCCUUGAGUACUAAAUCCUUGGUUCUAUACCAGUCACCACGUUUCAUGGCACCUUUGAGAAAAGGAUCAUGCAACCCAUAUAAGUUGGUGAAAAUACGAUCUUCAUCUUUUAAACCACCAAAAUGGGUUUUUUCGGGUGGUGGUGGAGGGGAUGCCUGUGGAGCACCAGCAGUUGUUGCUCCUUGAGUACUAAAUGAUCUAAUGCCUAGUUUCCACCUCUCACUGCUGGCUCUGAACAUUGCUGCCCUUUGCAAGGAAAGGAUGCCCUUUAUGGGUGCCUAUGCAAAGAAAAAAACAACCAAUCAUAACGACUUUGUUCUUUUUCAUUAAACGUUUUCCCAAAGACUUUAGGACAUAACAAAUCAAUUUCUUAGCUUCCAUGAAAUGAUACAAUUAUUAGAAAUAAAUCUAACAAAUACUCAAAAACACUCGAGAAGAAAACAAUAGCAAAUUUCAAGUAAGAAACAUGUUUGAAUGAAACACCUGAAACUGGAAAAGCCUACGAAAACGGUCCUAGAGGAAUAAUGAAGGGACAAUCGGAUGCUAAUAAUACACUCGGUGCAGCUAGUGCAACCAAAAAUAAAAGAAAGAAACUAACAUAAGACCCAUCAACUUCGAUACAAAUUAAUCAGACCAUGAAAUCUUGUCAGACCUCUCUGAAAAAUUACUUCCUUGAUGCCAAAAUACGAGCCACAUCCAAUUUUGAAGCAAUUAAAAAAAUUCCUAUUUCCUCGAUAAUCGCCUCAACUGCGUUUCACUGAGGCAUGUAAAUGAACAAUGAGAUAAUAAAAUCUAGACCAACCAAAAUUAAUUUCAUAACCUUACAACAACAAUCCAGCUUCAUUAAGCUUAGUUUCUAGCAAAUCAGGACUAAAAUUUUCUCUUCUGUGCAUUCAUUUUCCACUAGCAUAAUCGCAACCAAACAGAAGAUGAAGAAAGAAAAAAAAACAGAUUGGAUCUAGAAGUAAACGCGAACCAUCAUUUCACGAUCGGAAAAUGGAUGAAUAGACGAUAAAGGCGACGCAAGUGAAAACCGAAAAGAGAGAGUUUGGAAAUGAAGCGUACCAUAGCGUAAAAUGUUGCAGAUGUUCGUUGACACUGCGCGAUUCGACUCGACUGCAAAAUCAGAAACAAUGGCGGAGGGGGAAAAAAGGAAUAAAUGGGGAGUUCAAUAGUUGGGUAUGGUAUCUAGUAACAGGGAAAUCAAAAUGUUAAUUUUAUCAAGGGACUGGCAAUUUAAAUCCGGGAUUGGGAUACCCUACUCCUUCUCCCAGUUUGGAUAUUAGGAUUUGGAUAUAAAAAUUAGCGGAUAGAAAUUCCAAAGUAGGACCCGGAUGUAAAACUAAAUCAUUUUGUAUAUUUCUACAAUCAUUUUGUAUAUAUUUCUAAUAUGAAUAUUUUAACAAUUUAACAAUCAUAUUUAAUAUACAAUUUAAUAAUUAUAUCUAAUAUUCCAAUCAUGCAUGUUAAAUUAUUGAUAUUUUUUUGGUACAGUGACAAAAAUGUUAUGUUAUGAGAACGAGAAUUUGGGUUAAUAAAUAUAUAUAGUAUAUGAUAGAGAUAUUAAAUUUAUUCGAAAAUUUAUAUAUAUAUCAAGUACAAUUAUACCGAUAAAUUUAAUAGUUAAAUUGUUAAAAUAUUAAUCAUACAAAAAUAUAUAAAUGGGUGUAAAAUGACUUUAGUUUUAUAUGUGGAUCCCUUCCCAAUUCCCAAUUCCCAAUUCCUAAUUCUUAAUCUAAAUUUGGGUUUAACUAGAUUGCCUUGAGUUUGUUUAAAAGUACUUGGUUAUCUAAAAUAUUUUUUAAUCUAAUUACUAUGGAACUUGUAUUAGUUUAUGCUUACAUGGCACUGCAAAUAAUCAUACGAUGGCACUUGAAAACGCCUUAUUAUAAAAUGGUGGACAUAAAUAAAAAAUAUUAAAAUAUAUAAGUAAUAAAUCUGAACAAAUAGUUCUCUAGGUUCAUUUGAAUCUAGAUAACUUUUUAUCCAAAUUCAUUUGAUAUGUGUUUUUUUUAAUAAUUUUAUAUAUUUACAUUUUUAAUAAAACAUCAAAUUAUUUAUAUUAUUAUGAAUUUAGAUAAAUAAUUAUUUAAAUCUAUUUUAAAUAUGACUUUGCAUAGAAUAAUUAAUAUUGAGUAAACUUCUACCAUAAUAAAAAUGAGAUAAAGCAUAAAAUCUAGAUACCGACAAAAAAAGCUUAAAAGAAGAAAAAUGAGAAAGUAUUGCAAAGAAAAAUAAGGUAACAAUUAAAAAAUCAUUAAAAGAAGAAAAAGAAUAGUGGUGAUAGAGAGAAUGUAAAAGAAAAUAAAAAAAUAAUUUAAUUUAGUUUGAUUUUUAUAAUUUAAUUUAAUUUUAAUUUAAUUAAUUUAAAAAUGUCAAAAUGAUAGACUAAAAAAAUCUUUUUUAAGAAACGAAGAAAUUUGAGUAACGGAUUAUAAUUUAAAUACCAUGAAGUUUAGGUAUCCACUUGAAAAUAAUAUAUAAUUUAAGGAUUAUUUUGUAAUUUAACCCUAAUUAAAAAAUGAACGGCUGCCAUUCCUGCGUUCUGAUACAUUGGUCAAUAUUUUAAAAAAGACAGUAUACACAGGUAACAGCAGUAGCAAGUAAAAGCCUAAAUCCUCCUUUGUUCUAACGCAAAUUUGAAUCAUGACAGACACCUCCUCCGAUCUCCAAAAAUACGGCGUGCCGUUUUACGGAGCCGGAUGGGUUCCUUACAACCACAUCAAAUCCAAGCUCGCCUCACAAGAAAAGAUUGAAGAGGAUAAGAAAGAAGAAAAAGAUCCAACUCCAUCCAACGAUGACGAGAUCACUACACCCCUAAACUACGUUGUUCUCGCUGGCGGUGGCGGUGAAGGCCGUAGUGGCAUUCCCAAUGCAAUCGUUGUUUCCCACGUUAAUUUCACCUCCAAUUCUCUCUCCGAUCAACCUGUAAGUAGAUUUCGAGGAUUUCAAUUUAGAAAUUAUUGGAAUAUUUUUAGAUCUUUGGUUGACGAUUCUAGAAGUAUGAAAUCUAGAUCUUGUAGUUCAUUUAUUUUGAAUUAAGGAAAUGUCCUUAAAUUCUGAUUGUAAGCAACUACUACUUUUUUCUUCUUUCGCACAAGGAAUAUACUAAUGUAAUAUAUUUUUAGAUAAAUUUUUUAAUAUGUGUGUGUCUGUGUGUUUUCUGUUUUUUUUUUUUUUUUUGUGUUAAGGUGGUUAAGCAUGAAACUGGUUCUGAUUUGCCUUAUCGAAUGACUGUUCAUCCGCAUGGAUAUGGCAUUAUCUGUGCAUUUCAACAGAGCUGCAGGUUUUUUCUUUUAUUCUUUUCUUUGUUGACUCAUUUUUUCUUCUCUCUGUUAAUUUGCUUUUCAAAUUAGGCAUCUAUGACAUAAUAUAGCUCAGGUCACUUAGUUUGUUAAGGAAAAUAUGAACUUGAGAAUCCUUGGAGGAUUUUAAAGCGUUGUGCUUUAGUUUUCUGAAUGAUUGAUAGACGUAAAGCAUUCUCCUACGUUUUAACCAAAUAAUUUUCACUAUUGACAAGAGGUGCUAUUCUUUCUUCACGUUGCUUUGUCUAAAUUACCUCAAAGCCAGUGCGUCACAAGUGUUUCUAAAUAUCGGGGAUUUUGGAAGAAGAGAAUGAAAUUUUCUUGUUCUAAGCAGGAAAAAAUGCCUGAAAUAGUUUGUUCUUCAGAAUGUGCCCAAAAAAAGUUUUUUUUUUUUUUCAAAUCAAUUUCUUCAUCAUAUUUUCAACCAUUCUAUAUAUAUAUAUUGCCUGAAAUAGUUUGUUCUUCAGAAUGAGCCAAAAACAUAAAAGAUUAAAAUCAGUUUCCUCAUCAUAUUGGCAACCAUUCUAUUUAAUGCACAACUUCUCAUCUCUUUUUCUAUGAAGUUCUAAUGUUAUUAUUUUUAACUCUGGUACAUAGUUCUUGAGAGAAACCUCAAAUCUUUUAGUUAUGUUUAUUAACAAUUUUUACACGUGAGGGAAUGGAAUCACCUCUUUGUUAAGAGGUGGAAGCAGAUUGCUCUCAGAAUACGACUGUCUUGGAGGUAACAUUAUUACUCUGGCUUUAUUGCAUACUAGAAAUGGAAAAGGAAGGCUAGUAACAUAGAAGUGGAACCAUAUUAUAAAGGUGUACCUGAAGUUAUGCUAGCUUAUGAUCAAGGAGUUUAUAGUUAGUUUUGACGAUCAGAUAGGAAUUUCUUGUGUAAAUGGUGCUGCAAAACCUUGGUUGUGGUUAUUUGUGUGCUCCUUUUUAGUGACUCACUUCUAAUAUAUAUCCUUGUUAUUAUUGUGUUCUAUAGUUAGUUUUGUCAUUGCUAGUAGUUUAAGGAAUAUCACGCAUCCUUUUUUUUUUGUCUUCAGGUUGUUUGAGUGGAAAGAAUCUAACGGAAAUGAAGCCCACAAACUGGGUGUCAAGGUAUCAGAGAAAGUUCUGAUCCAGUUAGAGGAUGUUGGGCAACAGUUGGCACUGACAUUUAAUAGUGAGGGUUCUGUACUGGCUGUUGGUGGUGAGGUAGAGUGUCCCUCCCAUUUUUCAAUUUGUUGGAUUAAGUUUGUUGCAUUAUUCAUCACUAACCAAAGGGGGAAAACUAUUGCACUUGCUAUUGCACAAAUCAUCUGAAAAUGAUGCAAAAGUCGAGCCGCACAUUUUCCUAUAAAAUUAAAGAGCAUAUGCAUAUUGGCAUAUGAUGAAUCACAUUCGGCAACAGGCAGCCAGGUUAUCUUCAUGGUUAGGCUUGGGUUUUGAAAAGAUAUAUUGACACCAGAGCUAUUACUUUAUGGUAUUUUUUUAUUUCAGUUUUAUUUACUAAUUAUUAGACAUAUGAGUGGAUAGCUAGGAUUAUAACUUAUAAGUUAUCUCUAGAGAUUUAAUCUAGGCUAUGAUUAAAUUAUUAUUUGUAAACCCGCUUAUAAAUAAGCUGUAAAGUAGAUUUAUGGCCACCUUAUGAUUUUCUUUAAUUAAUAGACUUUAUAAACUAGAGUUUUUUUUUAUAACCCUACGUUUUUCUAGAGUUCUGACUUCUAUCUUACACAUUUUCAUCCUUUAGUUCUAUUGGUUUGCUGUUCUUUUCUUCCUAAACCACACCAUUAUAUAAGUUUAACUUGACAAUGAGGGGCGGGUGGAAUAGUGAGAGAAACAAAGAUAUUAACGUCACCAGAAUGUAUGACAAUUUAUUGACCUUUAUUUUGUACCCUUUCCAGUAGCGUCCUUGUUUUUCUUUUUGAUGCCAUGGUGGAAGUGAUAGAUUAUACUGGGGAUUUCAUAUUUCAGACUUGCCUACCCAUUAAAAGGCAGAUAAUAGCAAGUUAUAGGAUCUUACUUUUUUGUCAACUUUUGGAUUGAAGGGCCAACUGUUUCCAUAUCUGUCUCUUAGUUUCACUUUCUCAAUUCACCAUUUUGUGCCUAAUGCAUUAUACCUUUCUUUUAAAAGGAAAUAAAAAUUGUGCAGCAAUAUGCAAUAUGAUGCUCUGAUUUUGCUGCAGUACAGGAUGGCAGUUUAAGGGUUUUCAAGUGGCCUAGCAUGAAAAUAGUUCUCAAUGAAGCCCAGGCUCAUUCAUCUGUUAAGAACUUGGAUUUUAGGUUUGUGCCUGUUAUAUUAACGAAUAUAUAUAUAUUUCUGAACCUGCAAACUUUGUUUGCCAUGCUUAAGCUUUAAAGGGAGGGGUUGUCAAAGCAGAGGAAACUUCAUCUCCUUAGUAAUCAACUUGUUGCUGACAUAUCGACCGUUUGUAUUGCAGCUGUGAUGGAAAAUUUCUUGUGUCACUGGGAAGUGGCCUUUGUAGGAUUUGGGAUGUAACUUCGUCAAAAGUUGUUGCUUCUCUGGCAAAGGGAAAUGUGAGUGAAUGAAUCAAAGUUUUUUAAUAAGUGAAGCUUUUCUUUAGUUAUUACGAGUUUUGCCGCUGUUAGCACUAGGUUUUCUCGCUAUUGUCCAUAUUAUUAGCUUUAUGUGCAUACCUCUCUGUCUUUGAUGUUGUAAAAAGAAGCGUUAUGCAACCAUCUAAUAAUUUAGUGAAAUAGCUGAAGCCUUUUUUCAGAUUUCUUGCAGACAUUAAAUGAUAAGGGAAUUUUCAAUCUUUUCUGAUGAUUAAAGUUGAUGAUUCUUCUCUGUAUUGGGUUUCAACUGGUUUAUUUUGUUCACAUGAACUACAGGAUGAGGUUUUUGCCUUCUGCAGAUUUUCUCAAAUUAAUGAUAAGAAUCCACAUCUGUAUAUUGCUGCAGUCACAGGUAAAUAUUUAUUAUUUGACUCUGCUUUUCUGUGUCAUAAAAGAAACCCUGCUUUUAGUUUUAAAUUUUAACAUCAUUACUUCAUCUUGACAGACUAUGGUGGAAGUAUUUUAACAUAUAACACAACCACAUGGAAAAGAAUUCGCUCAAGCCGAGUAGUCCGGGAAGCUAUCUCUGCGUUCAAUGUCUCGUCUGAUGGGAAGUUCCUUGCAGUGUAAGAAUUAUUACUCUCUUAUCUUCUAGUUAUAACAUACUCAAAAAGUUCUAAGUACAAGUAUUAGUAAGACCCAUUAUGAGCUCUCCUCCUAAGACCUCUCUGGUGCUGACUGUAUUAGAUGAUUAUCCUGCCUGUUUCCCCUUCCAACUUUUCUAUUUUGUUCUAGAUUGUUUAUGGCCUUAUGGCUUAUUGCAUGGGGUUUCAACUUUAGACUUCUAUAUCCGUAUUGUCAAUAAAUACCUCUAUUGUAGUCUUGAAACUCCGCCAGCCUUUGCAUUUCAGAAAAUUAAUAAUUUUUCUUUAUCUGGUUUACAUGCAGUGGAACAGUCGGAGGAGACCUUUUUAUCAUAGAUUCUGCCAAUAUGCGGGUUCAGAUGAUGGUUAAAAAAGCUCACCUUGGUUUGGUUACAGCAUUGACGUUCUCCCCUGAUUCAAGGUUGUACACAAUAUAUCUGUUUUAUAAUUUAUUCUCUGCAGUACCCCUUGUUAGAAUAAGUAUGAUAUUGAGGAAUGCAAUUUUGAAUAUAGGGCUUUGGUUUCUGCAUCACUGGACUCAAGUGCUAGGUUGACCCCAAUCAAGGACAAGACGAGUAGUGGUACAUGCCUUUUCCUGAUUUUCUGGUUUUGUUGACUCAAAAGAUGCAUAUUCACUUUGUUGGACUGAAAGUGGCUGCCACACUGCAGCCUCAUGCCCAUGCCAUCUAUAAACUGAUUUGCCCUCUUCGGGGACCUAUCUUUUCCAAAUCCAUAUCAUAUGAGCAUCCUAAUUUAAGUUUGACUUCUAUUAACUCAAAGGGACAUUUGAAAACCAUUGAACUUUGUGCUCGUUAGUCUCCCAGUUUCAAACAUUCUUUGAGACCCAUGGAUGACACAGUUCAUAUGAAUGAAAUGAAAUGAAAUAUAAUGCAAACUUUGAUAUAAUCAAGAAGGCAAGUCAAACUAUUGCCUUAGGUAAUGUCCUGACCUAACCACCGAUGCAAUUGAUUCAGUGGUAAAUGUACUUAUGUCUCCUGCCUAUGAGGUUUGGGUUUCAAGCAGCACCAUGGAUGCUUGAGGCUAAACCUAUUUCUCUCUGCCCUGUCGCCAAAGGGUUGUUACAUUGACAUGACUAUCUAUAUACCUAUUUUCCAACUGAAAAAAUGCCCUGAUCUAGCUUGGAAUGACAUAAAUCUAGUAUAUAUUUUUGUUUAUUUUUUAAACUAGUUAUUGUUUUGUUUUAGAUAAAUAAAAAUCUUGUUUAAUAGAGGAUGUAAAAUUUGGUUGGUUGUGGGAAACAAGAAAACACAAUGUCUGUUUCUCAUACAUGGCAGGAAAACAACCAAAAUAUAAUCUAAAUAAACUAUCAAAGAGAAUAAUUUCCUGUCCAAGCUUAGAUGUGCAGUGCUGGCUUAGCCAAUUUUGCUAUACUAUAUUUUAGACUUAGGAAAUUCAUUUCCCGCAUAAAAAGCUCUAAUUGCUUUAUAUUCUACUUAAUUUUACAGGUGGAAUGACAUGGAUGAUCAUAUUAAUGGUGCUACUUGCAAUUGCUGUGUACUUUAUGAAGGAGAAAGGAAUUAUACCCUAAUGCAGGCCUGCUAAAAUUGCAAUCGAAGAUUUCACCAUUGUGUUAAAACUUUUGAAAUUGCUUGUGGCAAACUUUACAUAGAUUCUUAUCACUGUUCAGUCAACUUAAAAAUGUGAUAUGGAUUUCUGAUUUAAAUAGUCUAAUCAGCUGACUGCUUCAUUCCCACUUCCUGCCUAAUCAGUAUCCUCUGUCAUAGCUCAUGCUAUCUUGCAAUUUUUUUUCCCUUCGAUCCAUUGGUACUGACUUCUAGAGUCUGUAAAAGAAAUUUGACAGGUUGAAAAUAGUGCGAAUAUUUGUAUACUCAAUUUACGUCUAAUGCGUAUUCAUGAUUUUUAGAGUUUAUUGUCAAGUUGUUUAUGCUUUUAAAAUUGGUAUUGAUAUCCAAUGUUACGGUACACAACAAUCAAAUGGAGGUUGGGGAAGUGGGAAAUGGAGAUUGGACACAUUGGCUCCUACAAAUCUCCACUCGAGCAUGGUUUCCUAAGCCAUCACUCCCAUGGAGUCUUGUGCUUGCACAUUUUUUAUGGGAAUUACGGGUUGUUCAAAAUAACAUUAUUUUUCACUCCAGAUAUUAUCCACGCACAUUCGAAUUUCGAAGAUGCUAGCGUGUUCCUGAUCCAUGCGUUUUUUGGCUGAGAUAAGAAAAACCUCUGUAUGAAUCUUGCUGAAACUACGCUAGGAAGCCCCAAUGAAAGGAUGGCUCAGCCUUAACCAACGGCGGGGCCGGCGCUCUCAUUAGAUAUAAAAAUGGUUGAUGGCUCAUAGGGUUAGAGUCUUACCAACAUGUCCCUCAUGCUUAAAACCUGAACUUUGGCGAUUUAGAGAAUGAACUUGCGAAAUUUUGAAGAUGAGAUUGAUGCUACUAUUGUUAUCAGUCCAUUAUGUAUCAACUCAUAAUAUGUUGUUAUCUUCUAUUGCAGGACACUACUAUCGAGAUUGGAAGAGAAAACGUUCAAGUAUAUUUUCGAGAGAAGAAUAGAUGUGCAAAUGCUCUUUUCCGCCUAGGAAGUAGUUUUAAUUUCCUUAUGUUGUUUGUUGGAUGAAAACUCCGAACAUUGAUCGUUUGUGCAUUGGUAAUGUGCCACCAUCGGACCUUUCCCCUCUUUUGAUGGCUGAUGCUUACCGGAUAUUCUAUAUUUUACUGUUGGUUAAUUUUCUCCGUCAUAUUGUGAGAAAAGCUUGCUCUGUCAAUAACCUUCAACUCAACAAUGAAACAUAUGUUUUUUUCAGUCAGCCAAUAUCAGAUUUAGAGCUGAUUGCUAGCCCCCCUCAUUCCUCUUCCACUCACCGUCUCUUCUUCUUACUUACCCCUCCAACCACCCCAUCUCCUUUUCUUGGGGUUUGCUCCCUCUUUUGUUGGCUUUCCACCGUAUUUUUUUGGAAUGAGGAGGUCCUCACUUUGGGAAUAAUGAAAUUUUUCUCAAGUCAGUGGUGACCCGUUUUGUCAAGUUCGUGAUGCUCGUUUUUGUUUACGCAUGAUCUGACGAUUUUUAUUGAUCUAAGAGGUCCAGAUUCCAGUGGAAAGAAUAAGACUAUUGUAAGUGGAUAAAAUACACUAAUUCCCGAAGUUUUGAUCUGAUGGCUGAAUCCUGCUGAAGAAAUUUGUGUUCAUGAUGUUAGUGUUUUCAUAGGUGCUUUCCUACUUUACGGUGUAUUGAGAAAAUUAAAGAGAAUUUGAGAGUGGUUGAACUCAAGUUAAAGAGAACUAAACUUCGUUACUUGUUUUGUGCUAAAGAAGAAGAAAAGCAAAUUAUUUUACAUCUCUUUUAGUAGGCAGACGAAAAUGUAUAAACAUCAAACAAGCACAAUAUUCGCAGAACCGAAGUGAAUCCUAACAGUUUAUUUGGAUACAUCAUUAUGAAGAAAACAACUCACUUUCACUACUCAAUUAAUUAGCUGGUGGAGUAACACUUGGUCUCUGCAACUCUGUUCAUACUUUAAUAUAAUUCCUUAAGAAAACAUUUGUAAGGACUGUUUCUGAUUCAAAUGUGGCUUUCAGUUAUCAACAGAGAAACUCAAAUUGAUCCACUUCUAUUAUCAAUACCACAACAAAAGAGAUGCUAUACAUUGGUUUCACCAUCAGAGUAUAAGUCUGUGUAGCUUUAACAUAUAUACCCCACUUGCUUGCUUGGACUUGGUGUGUGACAUUCAUAAUUUUAGAGGGUGAACCAAACAAGGUGUAACUGGAAAAUCCAGGAGACCCUUGAGAAUCUGUCUGAAGCUGUAAAAUUGAAAUAUUCAGCUUUUCUGAUUCUGGUUUUGCAGCUUUCUCGUCUUGAUACACUAGGAAAGCUUUUUGAUACACGUUGUAGCAAGGGAGGCAUUUUGGAGCAGAUAUCUUAGUCCUCAAGAGAGAGUUGUUGUGGUAAGUUGGUUGCAGAUAGUGCGGAUCAAGGUUUAAUUACACAUUAAUCUACACUGCCAAAGCAUUCUGAACCAGCCACACCAUUUUCCCAAAGAAGCCCCAUGAUCGAACCCAGCGGUAGCUCAAAGACCCCAUAGAGGAAAUCAACCAAAUCCAUUCCAUCCUCACCCAACCCAACCUUCCUAGUGGUUGUUUCCACAUCAAGAUUCACAAUAAUAAUAUAUUUGUUUGUUGUAGCCAUUUCAGACUCGAGCAAGCAAUUAUUAUGUGAAGAAAGAGGGUUUGGACUUGGAGUGUAAGAGAGAAAAUUGCAUAUCCUGAGGAAAUUUUCACAUGGUGUGCAUAGUAAAUAAAUCAUUCCCCAC